Long non-coding RNA from Synchiropus splendidus (mandarinfish), 2115 nucleotides. RefSeq lists it as uncharacterized. The transcript is spliced from 4 exons. NCBI's taxonomy places the organism in Eukaryota, Metazoa, Chordata, Actinopteri, Syngnathiformes, Callionymidae. The record is from RefSeq and is a predicted model, not a curated record.
GUCGUGCUGAAGAUUCCAACCUUGCAACACUACCAUCUGCAGCUCCUCUAACUGUAAUUGUUUGUGUUUUUGCCAAACCUUCUUUUGAGCACUUCUGGAACUCCCACUUUGCAGGUGUCCAUCCUGUAAUGAUUGACAGGAGCAGAGAACGUGUCACGAUGCAGGGAAAGCUGAAGCUGCCACGACAAAUUGUGUGGGAGUGUACCAGUGUAGGUUGGAAAAAAUACUGGCUUCUCCUGAAAAAGCUUCCCCUUGAGGGUGCCACAGGUCACAGGCAGCGGGUGGAGAGGACAAGCUCGGCUGCUCAUCGUCAGCAACACUAGCCAUGUGCUUUGUUUUCUCCUUCUUCUUCGCCGGGGUCGACGUGGGAGCCAAGCAGUGACUUUCUAUGAAAAAAAUAGGAUGACAGCAGUCUAACGCAUGUUCAACAGGACAUCACUGUGUUAGGAGCCAGCCCAGCUCUUUUCUCUCCUCAAUCCUUCACUCUGUUAGCUUUCCUCAGUGUAUCAACUGAAACUCUGACUGCGCUGCUGUGACAGUGCGGUCAUCAAACUCAGGUGGAAGCACUGAAGCAGUGUAGAAACCCCCACCGCUCAUGAGCUUGCUUUGCAGCCUCUUCAGGGUGGGGCACUGCUCCAGCAGUGUCUCCUGCAACACACACUUCCAGAACAGCUUGAUGUCCUGAGGUUUGGUCUCAGCAAACCGGUCCAGAACGUUGUAAAGGGCUUCCUGCUUCUUCCCGGCAUCCUGUAGACCACUCACUUUCUGCCAACAGACAAAUAGGAGCGUUAAAACACAGGGCAGAGGUCAGUGAAGCUCAUCACACGAUGCUUUAUAAUCUGAUCGUUCACACUCAGAGUCAUUUGAAAAGCUCCACACUCACUGACUUGCUGUGGCGACACUGAUGGGAAAUGCUGAAAGCUGAAGGAAGGAAGUGGAAUCAAUAUGGCACUGAGGAUGUGAGACGUGGUGGAGCUUUUGGACAAGUUCUUUCAAUUCGCCUGACAGCUCCAAUUGGAAAUCGAAAGUGUUUGUGCCACGGCGGGACACACCUUAGCCAGACCUCACGGUGAUAAGCGUUACGUCAGAUGCUUGUCAAAGUCUUACUUCAGAAGGAUAGUUGUGUGUAUGAACUGCACUCUUUUGUUCCUUGAAAACGUUGAGCUUUUGGAGAGACCAACAUCCAUCCGAAUUAUGAAAACAAACAAACCCAAUCUCACCUCAUAUUCAUCCCGCCCGAUGAGGCUGUAGUCUCGCAUUUUGCCGAGCAACAAGUAAGGCCUUUCCAAACAAGACAGCUCGGUUUUAUGACGGCGGAAAAAGUUCAGAAGUUUCCCUGAAUCAAAAGACUGUAAUUGCUCCAUGUCCCUGCUCAAGAUCUUCUUCAACAAGACAUAACCGUGGAGGAAACACUCGCAGUACAUCCACGACUGUGAGCUUAGGACUGAGUCACGCCCAGCAACCAGGAAGCAUAUUUGACUGCCAGGCACAUGGGCGUGAACUGCACCAACCUGAUCACAACUGCCACUAUAUGGAGAUGUUGUUUGCUGUACAAAUGUUCAACGUGCUGUACCUUGUUCCAUGGCAAACAAUGAAGUCCACACAAACGGAUCAUAUUCUCUGUAGCACCCUUCCAAAACACCACAUGCUCAUGUUGGCAGAGCUUAACCACCUGCAAGGCGGUUGCUAGCUAACGGUCCAAGGCAGAACCUGGCUCAGCAAGGAGCAGUGAAACAGCCACUCAACUGAAGAUCAUCAUCUAAGGUUGGUCUUUGCUUCCAGGGCCGCGGCUAGCAAGUCCAUCACCCAAGGCUCGAUGCUGCAGAAGGCUGAAUUGUUUCAGGUGUGUCCAGUGAAACCAGACAGUAGUUUGCUGAGGCCGUCGCUUCAGCUCAGAGAAAUGCAAGACCAACUGGGUUCAUCAAGACGUCGGCUGAGUUUAUUGAGCUCCCACUAGAUCCUGCUAUUCUAAACAACAUUGAAGACCAUGUCAAACUUCCUGUUAAACAUCUGCUGGAGUUGGGGCUCCUUCUGACCCUGGGAGAGACAAAACCACAGUGAGCAGUUGAUGACAUCAUGAGAGGACAGGAGAGCUGAUACACCACAGUGACUCAG